This 437-nucleotide ribosomal RNA is filed under the name uncultured bacterium. RNAcentral's name for it is "partial 16S ribosomal RNA". It matches the Rfam family "Bacterial small subunit ribosomal RNA", at positions 29 to 507 of the family's 1533-position model. The record is from RNAcentral.
AGCGAACGCUGGCGGCAGGCUUAACACAUGCAAGUCGAGCGGGCACCUUUCGGGGUGUCAGCGGCGGACGGGUGAGUAACGCGUGGGAACGUGCCCUCUGGUUCGGAAUAACUCAGGGAAACUUGAGCUAAUACCGGAUACGUCCUUUUGGGGAAAGGCUUGCUGCCGGAGGAUCGGCCCGCGUCUGAUUAGCUAGUUGGUGAGGUAACGGCUCACCAAGGCGACGAUCAGUAGCUGGUCUGAGAGGAUGAUCAGCCACACUGGGACUGAGACACGGCCCAGACUCCUACGGGAGGCAGCAGUGGGGAAUAUUGGACAAUGGGCGCAAGCCUGAUCCAGCCAUGCCGCGUGAGUGAUGAAGGCCUUAGGGUUGUAAAGCUCUUUUAUCCGGGACGAUAAUGACGGUACCGGAGGAAUAAGCCCCGGCUAACUUCGUG